This 2926-nucleotide ribosomal RNA is filed under the name Escherichia coli. RNAcentral describes it as "bacterial LSU rRNA". It matches the Rfam family "Bacterial large subunit ribosomal RNA". The record is from RNAcentral. Lineage: Bacteria; Pseudomonadati; Pseudomonadota; Gammaproteobacteria; Enterobacterales; Enterobacteriaceae.
GGGUUGUGAGGUUAAGCGACUAAGCGUACACGGUGGAUGCCCUGGCAGUCAGAGGCGAUGAAGGACGUGCUAAUCUGCGAUAAGCGUCGGUAAGGUGAUAUGAACCGUUAUAACCGGCGAUUUCCGAAUGGGGAAACCCAGUGUGAUUCGUCACACUAUCAUUAACUGAAUCCAUAGGUUAAUGAGGCGAACCGGGGUAACUGAAACAUCUAAGUACCCCGAGGAAAAGAAAUCAACCGAGAUUCCCCCAGUAGCGGCGAGCGAACGGGGAGCAGCCCAGAGCCUGAAUCAGUGUGUGUGUUAGUGGAAGCGUCUGGAAAGGCGCGCGAUACAGGGUGACAGCCCCGUACACAAAAAUGCACAUGCUGUGAGCUCGAUGAGUAGGGCGGGACACGUGGUAUCCUGUCUGAAUAUGGGGGGACCAUCCUCCAAGGCUAAAUACUCCUGACUGACCGAUAGUGAACCAGUACCGUGAGGGAAAGGCGAAAAGAACCCCGGCGAGGGGAGUGAAAAAGAACCUGAAACCGUGUACGUACAAGCAGUGGGAGCACAGAGCAAUCUGUGUGACUGCGUACCUUUUGUAUAAUGGGUCAGCGACUUAUAUUCUGUAGCAAGGUUAACCGAAUAGGGGAGCCGAAGGGAAACCGAGUCUUAACUGGGCGUUAAGUUGCAGGGUAUAGACCCGAAACCCGGUGAUCUAGCCAUGGGCAGGUUGAAGGUUGGGUAACACUAACUGGAGGACCGAACCGACUAAUGUUGAAAAAUUAGCGGAUGACUUGUGGCUGGGGGUGAAAGGCCAAUCAAACCGGGAGAUAGCUGGUUCUCCCCGAAAGCUAUUUAGGUAGCGCCUCGUGAAUUCAUCUCCGGGGGUAGAGCACUGUUUCGGCAAGGGGGUCAUCCCGACUUACCAACCCGAUGCAAACUGCGAAUACCGGAGAAUGUUAUCACGGGAGACACACGGCGGGUGCUAACGUCCGUCGUGAAGAGGGAAACAACCCAGACCGCCAGCUAAGGUCCCAAAGUCAUGGUUAAGUGGGAAACGAUGUGGGAAGGCCCAGACAGCCAGGAUGUUGGCUUAGAAGCAGCCAUCAUUUAAAGAAAGCGUAAUAGCUCACUGGUCGAGUCGGCCUGCGCGGAAGAUGUAACGGGGCUAAACCAUGCACCGAAGCUGCGGCAGCGACACUAUGUGUUGUUGGGUAGGGGAGCGUUCUGUAAGCCUGUGAAGGUGUACUGUGAGGUAUGCUGGAGGUAUCAGAAGUGCGAAUGCUGACAUAAGUAACGAUAAAGCGGGUGAAAAGCCCGCUCGCCGGAAGACCAAGGGUUCCUGUCCAACGUUAAUCGGGGCAGGGUGAGUCGACCCCUAAGGCGAGGCCGAAAGGCGUAGUCGAUGGGAAACAGGUUAAUAUUCCUGUACUUGGUGUUACUGCGAAGGGGGGACGGAGAAGGCUAUGUUGGCCGGGCGACGGUUGUCCCGGUUUAAGCGUGUAGGCUGGUUUUCCAGGCAAAUCCGGAAAAUCAAGGCUGAGGCGUGAUGACGAGGCACUACGGUGCUGAAGCAACAAAUGCCCUGCUUCCAGGAAAAGCCUCUAAGCAUCAGGUAACAUCAAAUCGUACCCCAAACCGACACAGGUGGUCAGGUAGAGAAUACCAAGGCGCUUGAGAGAACUCGGGUGAAGGAACUAGGCAAAAUGGUGCCGUAACUUCGGGAGAAGGCACGCUGAUAUGUAGGUGAAGUCCCUCGCGGAUGGAGCUGAAAUCAGUCGAAGAUACCAGCUGGCUGCAACUGUUUAUUAAAAACACAGCACUGUGCAAACACGAAAGUGUACGUAUACGGUGUGACGCCUGCCCGGUGCCGGAAGGUUAAUUGAUGGGGUCAGCGCAAGCGAAGCUCUUGAUCGAAGCCCCGGUAAACGGCGGCCGUAACUAUAACGGUCCUAAGGUAGCGAAAUUCCUUGUCGGGUAAGUUCCGACCUGCACGAAUGGCGUAAUGAUGGCCAGGCUGUCUCCACCCGAGACUCAGUGAAAUUGAACUCGCUGUGAAGAUGCAGUGUACCCGCGGCAAGACGGAAAGACCCCGUGAACCUUUACUAUAGCUUGACACUGAACAUUGAGCCUUGAUGUGUAGGAUAGGUGGGAGGCUUUGAAGUGUGGACGCCAGUCUGCAUGGAGCCGACCUUGAAAUACCACCCUUUAAUGUUUGAUGUUCUAACGUUGACCCGUGAUCCGGGUUGCGGACAGUGUCUGGUGGGUAGUUUGACUGGGGCGGUCUCCUCCUAAAGAGUAACGGAGGAGCACGAAGGUUGGCUAAUCCUGGUCGGACAUCAGGAGGUUAGUGCAAUGGCAUAAGCCAGCUUGACUGCGAGCGUGACGGCGCGAGCAGGUGCGAAAGCAGGUCAUAGUGAUCCGGUGGUUCUGAAUGGAAGGGCCAUCGCUCAACGGAUAAAAGGUACUCCGGGGAUAACAGGCUGAUACCGCCCAAGAGUUCAUAUCGACGGCGGUGUUUGGCACCUCGAUGUCGGCUCAUCACAUCCUGGGGCUGAAGUAGGUCCCAAGGGUAUGGCUGUUCGCCAUUUAAAGUGGUACGCGAGCUGGGUUUAGAACGUCGUGAGACAGUUCGGUCCCUAUCUGCCGUGGGCGCUGGAGAAUUGAGGGGGGCUGCUCCUAGUACGAGAGGACCGGAGUGGACGCAUCACUGGUGUUCGGGUUGUCAUGCCAAUGGCACUGCCCGGUAGCUAAAUGCGGAAGAGAUAAGUGCUGAAAGCAUCUAAGCACGAAACUUGCCCCGAGAUGAGUUCUCCCUGACUCCUUGAGAGUCCUGAAGGAACGUUGAAGACGACGACGUUGAUAGGCCGGGUGUGUAAGCGCAGCGAUGCGUUGAGCUAACCGGUACUAAUGAACCGUGAGGCUUAACCUUACAACGCCGAAG